This 424-nucleotide ribosomal RNA is filed under the name uncultured Intestinimonas sp. RNAcentral's name for it is "bacterial SSU rRNA". It matches the Rfam family "Bacterial small subunit ribosomal RNA", at positions 338 to 754 of the family's 1533-position model. Lineage: Bacteria; Bacillati; Bacillota; Clostridia; Eubacteriales. The record is from RNAcentral.
CCUACGGGAGGCAGCAGUGGGGAAUCUUCCGCAAUGGACGAAAGUCUGACGGAGCAACGCCGCGUGAGUGAUGAAGGAUUUCGGUCUGUAAAGCUCUGUUGUUUAUGACGAACGUGCAGUGUGUGAACAAUGCAUUGCAAUGACGGUAGUAAACGAGGAAGCCACGGCUAACUACGUGCCAGCAGCCGCGGUAAUACGUAUGUCGCAAGCGUUAUCCGGAUUUAUUGGGCGUAAAGCGCGUCUAGGCGGCUUAGUAAGUCUGAUGUGAAAAUGCGGGGCUCAACCCCGUAUGGCGCUGGAAACUGUUAGGCUUGAGUGCAGGAGAGGAAAGGGGAAUUCCCAGUGUAGCGGUGAAAUGCGUAGAUAUUGGGAGGAACACCAGUGGCGAAGGCGCCUUUCUGGACUGUGUCUGACGCUGAGAUGC